Molecule: ribosomal RNA, 511 nt
Filed under: Colletotrichum gloeosporioides
Lineage: Eukaryota; Fungi; Ascomycota; Sordariomycetes; Glomerellales; Glomerellaceae
Description: eukaryotic LSU rRNA
Rfam family: 5.8S ribosomal RNA (bases 156-309)
Source: RNAcentral
ACCCUUUGUGACAUACCUAUAACUGUUGCUUCGGCGGGUAGGGUCUCCGUGACCCUCCCGGCCUCCCGCCCCCCCGGGCGGGUCGGCGCCCGCCGGAGGAUAACCAAACUCUGAUUUAACGACGUUUCUUCUGAGUGGUACAAGCAAAUAAUCAAAACUUUUAACAACGGAUCUCUUGGUUCUGGCAUCGAUGAAGAACGCAGCGAAAUGCGAUAAGUAAUGUGAAUUGCAGAAUUCAGUGAAUCAUCGAAUCUUUGAACGCACAUUGCGCCCGCCAGCAUUCUGGCGGGCAUGCCUGUUCGAGCGUCAUUUCAACCCUCAAGCUCUGCUUGGUGUUGGGGCCCUACAGCCGAUGUAGGCCCUCAAAGGUAGUGGCGGACCCUCCCGGAGCCUCCUUUGCGUAGUAACUUUACGUCUCGCACUGGGAUCCGGAGGGACUCUUGCCGUAAAACCCCCCAAUUUUCCAAAGGUUGACCUCGGAUCAGGUAGGAAUACCCGCUGAACUUAAGCA